RNAcentral lists this ribosomal RNA (455 nucleotides) under uncultured organism. RNAcentral's name for it is "partial 16S ribosomal RNA". It matches the Rfam family "Bacterial small subunit ribosomal RNA", at positions 329 to 800 of the family's 1533-position model. The record is from RNAcentral.
ACGUACACUCCUGCGGGAGGCAGCAGUGGGGAAUAUUGGACAAUGGGCGCAAGCCUGAUCCAGCCAUGCCGCGUGAGUGAUGAAGGCCCUAGGGUUGUAAAGCUCUUUCACCGGUGAAGAUAAUGACGGUAACCGGAGAAGAAGCCCCGGCUAACUUCGUGCCAGCAGCCGCGGUAAUACGAAGGGGGCUAGCGUUGUUCGGAUUUACUGGGCGUAAAGCGCACGUAGGCGGACUAUUAAGUCAGGGGUGAAAUCCCGGGGCUCAACCCCGGAACUGCCUUUGAUACUGGUAGUCUUGAGUUCGAGAGAGGUGAGUGGAAUUCCGGGUGUAGAGGUGAAAUUCGUAGAUAUUCGGAGGAACACCAGUGGCGAAGGCGGCUCACUGGCUCGAUACUGACGCUGAGGUGCGAAAGCGUGGGGAGCAAACAGGAUUAGAUACCCGGGUAGUCCCAUGA